RNAcentral lists this ribosomal RNA (253 nucleotides) under uncultured bacterium. RNAcentral's name for it is "partial 16S ribosomal RNA". It matches the Rfam family "Bacterial small subunit ribosomal RNA", at positions 524 to 776 of the family's 1533-position model. The record is from RNAcentral.
UACGUAGGUGACCAGCGUUGUCCGGAUUUACUGGGCGUAAAGAGCGCGCGGGCGGUCGUUCAAGUCGAGUGUGAAAGCCCCCGGCUCAACUGGGGAGGGUCAUUCGAUACUGAUCGACUUGAAGGCAGGAGAGGGAAGUGGAAUUCCCGGUGUAGUGGUGAAAUGCGUAGAUAUCGGGAGGAACACCAGUGGCGAAGGCGACUUCCUGGCCUGUUCUUGACGCUGAGGCGCGAAAGCUAGGGGAGCAAACGGG